Molecule: non-coding RNA, 440 nt
Organism: Pelobates cultripes (western spadefoot toad)
Lineage: Eukaryota; Metazoa; Chordata; Amphibia; Anura; Pelobatidae
Source: the annotation of a GenBank genome assembly
CUUUUUUAAAUGCUGAAAAAAAGAGUUCAAACAUUACUGUAUUUCCGCACCUAAAGAAGCUCCCAGCGCUGAGCUCCCUCCUGCAUCUGACGUCAGCAGGGAGACUCGUGGGGUCCAAUUACAGGCUUCUCUCGGAGAAGCCUGUGAUUGGACCAUUUCGCUGGCUCAAAGCACAUGCACACAAUCAGCGGGUGAGGGAAGGGAGUGGGGAGUUUACAGGUGAUGGGGAAAACAUUUUGAAAACAAAAUUAGGCAAAGCGGGGGGGGGGGGCUCAAUAAAUAAUGGGAGGGAGUGAAGAGCGAGUUUGGAGGUCUGGACUGCCUAAGUCACAUGUGCAAGGGGCAUAACUAGCCCGUGGCACACAAGUGCCAAGCAGAAACACUGUACAAACAUACUCCUACCACCAUGACCCCUUCAAAUCACCCUUUAAGGAAUUAAA